GGAUGAGCUGUGGAUAGGGGUGAAAGGCUAAACAAACUUGGAAAUAGCUGGUUCUCUCCGAAAACUAUUUAGGUAGUGCCUCAAGUAUUACCGUCGGGGGUAGAGCACUGUUUAGGCUAGGGGGUCAUGGCGACUUACCAAACCUAUGCAAACUCCGAAUACCGACGAGUACAGCUUGGGAGACAGAGCACCGGGUGCUAACGUCCGGACUCAAGAGGGAAACAACCCAGACCGCCAGCUAAGGUCCCUAAAAUUGGCUAAGUGGGAAACGAAGUGGGAAGGCUAUAACAGUCAGGAUGUUGGCUUAGAAGCAGCCAUCAUUUAAAGAAAGCGUAAUAGCUCACUGAUCGAGUCGUCCUGCGCGGAAGAUGUAACGGGGCUCAAGCCAGUUACCGAAGCUGCGGAUAUGCAAUUUAUUGCAUAUGGUAGGAGAGCGUUCUGUAAGCCUGCGAAGGUGUCUUGUAAAGGAUGCUGGAGGUAUCAGAAGUGCGAAUGCUGACAUGAGUAGCGUUAAAGGGGGUGAAAAGCCCCCUCGCCGUAAGCGCAAGGUUUCCUACGCAACGUUCAUCGGCGUAGGGUGAGUCGGCCCCUAAGGCGAGGCAGAGAUGCGUAGCUGAUGGGAAACAGGUGAAUAUUCCUGUACCGAUUGCAAGUGCGAUGUGGGGACGGAGAAGGUUAGCUCAGCCGGGUGUUGGAUGUCCCGGUUCAAGCGUGUAGUCAUGCCCUCUAGGCAAAUCCGGAGGGCUAAGAUGAGGCGUGAUAACGAGUCUGCUUGCAGACGAAGUGAGUGAUACCCUGCUUCCAAGAAAAGCCACUAAGCUCCAGCUUGCAACGACCGUACCGCAAACCGACACUGGUGCGCGUGAUGAGUAUUCUCAGGCGCUUGAGAGAACUCUGGAGAAGGAACUCGGCAAAUUGACACCGUAACUUCGGAAGAAGGUGUGCCUUUAGUCAGUGAAGCCCCUCGCGGGUGGAGCUAAACGAGGCCGCAGAGAAUCGGUGGCUGCGACUGUUUAAUAAAAACACAGCACUCUGCAAAGACGAAAGUCGACGUAUAGGGUGUGACGCCUGCCCGGUGCUGGAAGAUUAAAUGAUGGGGUGCAAGCUCUUGACUGAAGUCCCAGUAAACGGCGGCCGUAACUAUAACGGUCCUAAGGUAGCGAAAUUCCUUGUCGGGUAAGUUCCGACCUGCACGAAUGGCGUAACGAUGGCCACACUGUCUCCUCCGCAGACUCAGCGAAGUUGAAAUGUUUGUGAUGAUGCAAUCUCCCCGCGGAAAGACGGAAAGACCCCAUGAACCUUUACUGUAGCUUUGUAUUGGACUUUGAACAGAUCUGUGUAGGAUAGGUGGGAGGC
RNAcentral lists this ribosomal RNA (1356 nucleotides) under freshwater metagenome. Its description in RNAcentral is "bacterial LSU rRNA". It matches the Rfam family "Bacterial large subunit ribosomal RNA", at positions 802 to 2155 of the family's 2925-position model. The record is from RNAcentral.